Molecule: unclassified non-coding RNA, 113 nt
Filed under: uncultured fungus
Lineage: Eukaryota; Fungi
Description: sequence contains ITS1
Source: RNAcentral
UUGAAUGGCCUCAUGGCCUUCAUCCUUCUACCCUUGUGGAUUAAGAUGUGCCUUCGGCCCUAGUGGCCGGCUUUUAUGCUGUAGACUUUGUCUGACAUGAUUAUUAAAAAUCA